Molecule: long non-coding RNA, 25581 nt
Filed under: Eucalyptus grandis
Lineage: Eukaryota; Viridiplantae; Streptophyta; Magnoliopsida; Myrtales; Myrtaceae
Description: long non-coding RNA (EGRA_LNC005978)
Source: RNAcentral
CGUCUUCCGUGAUCAUGUCGCUGCUUUCGGAUCUCCUCAACCUCAACCUCUCCGACACCACCGAGAAGGUGAUCGCCGAGUACAUAUGGUCAGUCCUCGCCAAUCCUCUGUCGUGCUACCCUGCCCAUUUGCCGUGUCCUUUUUUUUUUUUUUUUUUCUGCAUACCGUCGUGGCGUUUCGCUGUGUUUUGCCUCUCGUUCGUGUUGGGUUUCAAUUGUUUCUGUGCUUGCUGGUUGUGUUUUUUUUUCUUUUCUUUUCUUUUUUUAAAUCGCGAUCUCUGUUUCCUGAACUCAAGUACUCUGUUUCGUGGAUCGCGUCUUACUCGAUGCAUGCUUGUUCGGGUUUUCUGAUUCCUAAUGUUUGCAUUUCUCUGUGUAAAUCUACUCAGAUGAAAGAAGGGUAUUCUUGUUCUGUUUGGUACGGUUGAUUUCUCUAUCUUCUCGAAGUUCCUGAUCUUGGGCAUGCUGAUUUGUUGUAUUUCCAGUUCUGAGCUCCUUUUGUUCGUGAAUAUGGCUUCGUGUUUCUUUGAUUGUCUUAGUUCGGUGUUCUUUGGACUUUUCUCUCACUGGGUUGAAAAAAGAAGAACUCUCUUUUGUUUCCGUGUUGUCCUUGAUUGGCGAGAAGAAGAAAUUAACGUGUUUAAGCCCGGUGGUUCUUUCAGAUACAGUCAGAUUUGAUCUCGCUUUGCAGGCUGACUGUUUGUUCUUUUAGCCGCUAGAACAGAGCAAUCCUCUGGGUUGCGCUGCUUAUCGGGUUUCUCUGUGACCUUUCUCUCUUUUCCCUUUAAAACAGAUUUGCGGUGGAAGAUAGUAAUUUGAUGCAUUUGUUUUGUGCUAGAACUCUGAUAAACAGUUACCUCAGAUUUUGUUCAUUAAGUUGCGAAGUCACGUCUUUUUCUGCAUCUGAUGAUGUUUUAUGUUUUGGCUAAUUUGAAAAGGAUUGGGGGAUCUGGGAUGGACCUCAGAAGCAAAGCAAGAGUGAGUUUCUCUCUUUUUAGAUGAUCAAGCAAUUGGUUGUUCGGUAGCUCGUGAAUCUGUCCCUUUCCUGAUAUUUGACGUGGACUCCUCUUUCGAUUUGUCUAUAGACUCUUAAUGGCCCCGUCAGCGAUCCAUCAAAGCUACCCAAAUGGAACUAUGAUGGCUCGAGCACUAAUCAGGCCCCAGGGGAAGAUAGUGAAGUGAUCCUUUAGUAAGUGUUUGUACUUUACAUGGAUUUCUGUUUAUAGCCAUAAGUAAGUCUGGUUUGAUAUAACUUUAGUCAGAUCAGUGAUUUCUUAUUAGAGCUGGUAUGUAUCUAGAAUACUAAUGACAUCUUACCCGUCUCGGUAACAAUUGAAUGACGCAUACAGUCCCCAAGCAAUUUUCAAGGAUCCAUUUAGGAGGGGCAACAAUAUCCUGGUGAGUGCUUUUUCUAUUUAGCGGAAUGAGUUCUCCAUUUAUCAGUUUUUAUUUGAUGUUAUAGCGUAGUUAUUAACAAAGCGUCUGUGGUUUAGGUCAUGUGUGACGCCUACACUCCAGCAGGAGAGCCAAUCCCGACAAACAAGAGGCAUGCCGCUGCCAAGAUAUUCAGCCAUCCUGAUGUGCUUGCCGAAGAGCCCUGGUAAUUUCAUCCAUCUGGCCUUCUCAUUUUCAUUUUCUAAUUUCUUUCUCUAUUCACUCACUUGCUAUACGCAUGGGUUUAAUACAUGAAAACAGGUAUGGGAUUGAGCAAGAGUACACCCUCUUGCAGCGAGAUGUCAAGUGGCCAAUUGGAUGGCCUCUCGGUGGCUAUCCUGGUCCUCAGGUACAUCAUCACAGUUGCUUAAACCCCCGUCUCUGUUGCCAUAGACCAUCAUCCCUUUAAAUAAAAGAAGGGAGCAAGUGCUUGGCAUCUUAUACUCUUCCUACAAGUUUAUUCAGAACAUGGAGUUUCGCACUUGAUUCAUAAUGAUGUGGCAGAUAUGUCUACAAUGUUUUGUAUGCUGCAUCAGUUGUUUCAGAUCUUGUUCUCUAAAUCAUUAUGGUUCAACAGGGACCAUACUACUGUGGCAUUGGCGGAGACAAGGCUUUUGGAAGAGAUGUCGUGGACUCCCAUUACAAGGCCUGCUUGUAUGCUGGAGUCAACAUCAGCGGCAUCAACGGGGAAGUCAUGCCGGGCCAGGUUAGAAAACAUAUCAUUUUGGAAAUUAGUCACAUUACAUAUCAUCGAUUCUUAUUUCCCAGCUAAUUUAUUCAACUCUCAAUCAUUUUCUUAUCUAUUCCUGUGUAGUGGGAAUUCCAAGUCGGUCCUGCCGUGGGCAUCUCAGCUGGAGAUGAAUUGUGGGUAGCCCGCUACAUUUUGGAGGUAAUGUGACAGCCUAUGUUAUUUUUUUUAUCAUGACAUAGUAAUAUUUGCUGGCAAGGUUUUUUUGCUUAUUUAAUCAUGUUGCUGUAACCAGAGGAUCACGGAGAUUGCUGGCAUUGUCCUUUCAUUCGAUCCCAAGCCUAUCCACGUUAGUCCACUGCCCUUUAUAUUAAUUGUUCUUAAUGCUUAUGCAUGGCUACUUCAAGUUCAUCACAUGGCUUUUAUUAUCACCAGGGAGAUUGGAAUGGAGCAGGCGCUCACACAAACUACAGGUAACAAAACAUCACUGAUUCUUGUCUAUGCUUUCCUAUAUUAACGCGUUUCUGCACGUGCACACAAGCCAAGGAGACUCGCCACUCAAAUCUUUGCUGAAUAUUUAUGGCUGGGUUGCAGCACUAAGUCAAUGAGGAGUGAUGGUGGAUAUGAAGUCAUAAAAAAGGCAAUAGAGAAGCUUGGACUGAAGCACAAGGAACACAUUGCUGCAUAUGGUGAAGGCAAUGAGCGUCGUCUCACUGGGCGCCAUGAGACAGCUGACAUCAAUACAUUCCUGUGGGUAAGGAGAAUCAGAUGCCCUUGAAAAUGAAAUGUUAAUCAUGGUUAUCAUUGCUCUUUGCGCUAUUCAGAUUGGCAAGCUAGUGUCUUUAGAUGCUUUCUUGAUUGGGGGAUUGAGGCUGAAUAUUUUUGUGCAGCGCGUUGCAAACCGAGGCGCGUCAAUCAGAGUUGGAAGAGACACUGAGAAAGCUGGAAAAGGUUACUUUGAGGACAGGAGACCCGCGUCAAACAUGGACCCAUAUGUGGUCACUUCCAUGAUUGCAGAGACCACCAUUAUCUGGAAACCAUAGAGUUUCUCUCAGCUUGGGAACGAUCGCCGUGUGUCUAUCUUGAUCAGGGAAAAUAUUGUUUUAGACAGGACCCUGCUAGUAUUUCCUUUCGUUUUCAUUGCUGGGUGUUUCUACCGGUACAAUAGCUUUGGCUCUUUUUUUAUCUCUCCUCAUUUGCUUGCAACAUCUGCCGGUUUCUUAGGAGCAUGUGCUGAUUUCUGAUGCAGCAAAGACGAGCAGAUUGUUUCCUUGCAGUAUUGUUUUGAAUCUGCUGUAGUUGGUUGAAAAUAAAUUGUGACGGGGCUAAUCUUUUACUAUUGGAAAGUGACUAAUGUUCUUGGCAAAGUUUCUCCGAUUUUACUUGAGUAUACUGGAUGCGUAUUCUCCGAUGUAUGCCUAGCUAAAGCCGGAAGUAAGUACAGCCAGCCGGGCUUCCUGUUAGCUCAACUUCUUUCACAAUUCAACCUGUCUUCUCUUACUGUGCGUGUAAGAACAAAAAGGAAAUACCAAUGGAUUUGUGCAGGGGAUGGACUCAGGCCGGAUAGAUGUCUAUUAUCGAAUUCCUGACGUUACGGUUUUGGAAUGCCUGAGGCCUCUUCAACAUCGGAUGAAACCCUAUAUGACGAAGUUAUAUGCAAAGUCAGAGACAUCCACAAUUAAAAAACAUAUACUGCAGAAGGCAGUGUCAUGCUUCAUUGCGGAAUACGUAAUCGACUAAUACAAAAUGAGGAAAGCAAUAUACUUGAAGCACUUCUGCUUCAUAUACAAUGGAGAGGAAAUUCCUUCUUUUCAAGAGUUACGUUAGUUGGCUCUAUUCAAGAUAUUCGAUCCAGUUAUUAAAGCACAGUCGGGAAUGGAGACGGCACUUGUUUUUGAGCUAUAUCGAUGCAGUCACAUGGAUUGUCAUUGCUUGCAGAAAUAUUGUAUAUUGAAAGGUCAAGUAAAAUGAAAUGUGUUUCGAGAUGCUAAAAGCAUGAGAUCUUUCUGGUUGGAAGGCAUGACUCAUCCCGGCUAAUUCCCGAUCUGGGUUCCUGAACAGACUUUAAGGCAGCUUUAUAUUUUAUGGACAAAGCAUUUCUCACGGGUGUCCUUGCAAUUUACCUUCCCUGACCUCUCGGCUAAGGCCAAGUGCACAUCACAACGUGUUGAAAACUUGCAACAGCACACAAGGAAUGCAAUCAACAGGACAUGGAAAAUAUUCAACAUCGAUCAAUGUGCUUGGAGAUUCUGUUGGUGUCGGAAUGCGUACUACCUGAUGUAACCCCUCGUCGUUCAUCCAACGUGUGGUGGUUUAUAACAAGCUGUAUCAGCAAAUUGCAAUUUUGUAUUGUAAUCAAAAGGAUUGACAAAAGAGAGGCAUAUAAUAAGAAAAAAAACAAAGGGCUCAGCUCCGUGUGUUCUGAGUCUAUGGGCUGAAGAAGUGGACUGUGGAAGGAAUUACGAUGAAAAUGAUGAUUCGGAUCAGGAUUAGUUAAUCUAAUCACUGCAUACGUCAGGAGGAGAGAAGCUUCACCAUGAGAAAAUAGCCCGAAAACGCCAUAUCUCACCUAAUGCUUUCGAAAACCUACAAAGCUAACACCAAUGAAACAGCCUAUCAGUUGAAUGCUGACAACAAGAACAGAAAGGACAUUCGCCAUUAGGUGUGAGCAAUAUUAUAUAACCUUUUCGUAAGAAAAAGAAGACUUGCAAUGCCCUCAUCAACUUGUAGAAGCACAUUCUAACAUCUUCCCUUGCUUUCCUACUUACCCUUCUAAUCUAUGGAACCUCGCUGUUGCCUUCAUUCCUAGCUAAGACUAGACAGUCUUGUCCAUUAGCAUCGCAAUUCGUAUGGAGGUCAUAAGAAGAGCAAAAGGGAUUGAUGAUGGCAAGGAUGCUGUCAAAGAUGCCGCAAGGGCUUCAUACUCGCAUGGUUCCUGGUUGGAGCAGAAGCCUAUUUGUGAAUAUUGUGAGAUGGCCUCGAGCCCAAGUCCUAGUCCUAAACCGUCUUGUUACAAGCUUGAAGCCAUGAAGAUGACCAAAUCCGAGCCUGAGACCAGAGAGGCUCCAAGACACAAUCGAGGAAUCCGUAAGGAGAAUUCUCUGCUUGACUCAUAUGAAGUAGAAGCUAUACGCAGGCAACUGGACCAGUUCAUAGAAUACUGUCGGCGUGAGAGGGAUGGUCAUUCUAGAGCCAAAGCUCAUCAUCAUCAACAUCAGAAAAAUAAAAGUAACGAGGGCAGCAAAUUAGGGAGGAAAGUGAAGGUGCUUUGGCAGAGGCAUGCGUUGACGUGUGGGGCUCCUGAAGAUGUGAUUGACUCGAUCGCUCUCAAGACUCGCAGGGUGUCACAAGCCAGCUUCGCCUCAUUGUCCUAGAUCUUCUACUUCACCCGUUGGGUCAUUGUAUAGCUAAGGAUUCAGUACAUUUUUACAUCUUUUCUUGUGGGCAUUGUACACUAGUAUACUUGCUCGAUUGGGUCGAAAUCUUGUCACGCCCUCUUAUAUAAUCUUGCAAGUCUUGCUGCUAACAAGCAUUUAUCUCAUCAGACAGUGAUAAAGUACUUGCACCUGUGAUGAACCUAAAAUGUGUCGAUAUCAUUCUGGAAUGAAAGAAACCAGAAAAGAGAAACAGUGAGUUUGUCAUAUGCUAGUGAUAUGGCGAUUGUUCUCGUUCAUAAAUUCUUGGUCGGGGCAGACCUACGGAGUGAUGGAGGCCAGACCCUAUGUGACCCCAUCUUUGCAAACAUCCAGCAGCUGGGCUGAUCGAUCCCAUUCCUACCGCAAACGUGUAAAGUUCACUCAGGCACGGCAAAUUUUCUGAUGUAUUUACAACGUGCAAGACAAGAAAAUUCACAAAGUCGAUUAAACAUAAGCUAUUCUAAGAAAAAAUAAAGGAUUUGCAUCGUGGGCAUGAGUCACCUAGGAGUUACGUGCUUCAAUUCCAGAAGCUUGUAUUCCUUAUUGAAGGAUGCUAUCAAAACAUGCCACGAUCAGGCACGCAAUGGCAGUUGCGCUAUUUACGGUCUCAUAUUACCAAGCACGCCAAAACUGAGCUCUCAACUAAGUUCAGGAAUUAAAGCUGCCAUCCACCACAGGCACAAGGCGGCAAUUUCGAUUUGCAAUUUGAAACGGGGAUUAUCAACAAUCAAAUAAAAGUUGUCCAACUCCAAGCUCUCUAAAGAAGAACUAAUUAAUUGCUCAGAUCACUCACAAAUUGGCCCGCUUGGCUGUAUAGUUUUUAUCGGGUUAACCUCGUGCACCACCGCCAACACAGACUUACAUGCUUCUUCAAAGAAAUGUUGAAGAGAGAUCCUUGAAAACGAAUUUCACUAUGCACUGACAAUGCACAUCAGUAUAGACAACAAACAGGAUGAAGGGCAGAAGGCUGGAAGCAAAAGCAGCAAUCACACAAUCAGUUAAAAAGACAAUCAAACAGUCCAGAGGAGAGAGAUUUCUCCUUAAUCAUUAACAUAGAAGAUAGUUUACUUUCCUAAGCUGUAUCAUUCACAACAGACGCUAAAUUGCAUGCAGAAGCUCAAAUAAAAACUAGGAAUGCAUCUUGGCGACCAAAUCUAAGCCAUUCAAAAUAUGUUAGUCAUAACUGAUUUUACAGAAGACAGGAUGAACUGAGAACCAAAAAGAUCUUGACCAAGCAAAGCUAAAACCAAGAUUCUAAACAAGCUACAAUAACGUCUACCGCAUCUUUGCUUGCUCAGGCAUGCCACCGCUACAACAAGCUCUACCCUUGCCAAAGGCCUUCAUCUUCCCCCUCUCUCUACUCGUCACUGUCAGAUUCAUCACCUUUCUCUCUAUUUGCAUUGCUUGCUUCUCUCUCCAACUCCUCCCAUGUCUUCCCCUUCCCUUCCUCCGAAUCUUCUUCUGAACCUAAGUCGUCAUCCUCCUCAGACUCCACCUAGGACUCAUUAUCAGAGGCAUCUUCUUCCGAAUUGGAUUCGGACAGCACAUCAGAUGGUUCAUAACCUCGGUCUGGUUCCUCUGAUUUUUCACUAUCUGAGUCACUGACGACCAAAUUCAAAAACUCCUAGCCCCCAUCAUCUAUGAAGCUCUGGGGAUCAUCAGUUAUGUUCUUCAAUAUCUGUCGCCAGUUCAGAUUCAAUCUGCUUUUGAAGUACUUGAAAACUAUAGUCAUAUCGAAGUUCUUCUGUGCAAGACCAACUCUCUCCAAGUUCACAAUAUCAAUCUCACUCAGUGCCACCACAAGGAAAGGAGUCUCCAUCGGUUCCACCAGGUAGGUUGAAGUCGGAACAGUGAAAGCUGAAGCUUUGUAGCGAACCCCAUGAAAGCCAAGCUCUCUUAAAGGCUGAUCGAAUUCAAGGUCCAGCUCACCAGACUAGGGCUGGCCCCAGAGCUAGUCUUUUAUUGUUGGAAAGUGGCUAAUGUUCUCGGCAUAGUUUCUCCGAUUUUACUUGAUUUCAUUGGAUGCAUAUUUUCCGAUGUUCAUGUCAUUUUAAAGCUGGAAGUACAGAUGGCCCUUGGUCCCUUCCUUUUAGCUCAACUUAUUCCAAAAUUCAAGCUGUUGCGUGAGAAAACAAAGGUCUCCAAAUUUCAAGAUAUACCGAAGAACCAGAAGAGCGACGGUCGCCCUUGACAUUCCGAAAUGGAUUUGCGCAAGGAAUGGAUCCAGGGCAGGCGGACGUCUUUUAUGAAAUCGCCCGACUUUGCAGUCUUGGAAUUCCUAAGGCCUCUUCACCAUUAAAAAAAAGAAAAGAAAAAAAAAAGAACCCAUAUAUCGCAGUUAUAUGUGAAGUCAGACAUCCGGGUUCAACCUACAGAAACUGCAGGAGAUAUUGUCGUGCUUCACUGCGGACUACAUGAUCAACUAAUACAAAAUGAAGAAGCAUAAUACUAAAAGCACGUCUGCUACAUAUCCAAUAAGAGAGGAAAUUUCAUUCUCCGCAAGCAUUACUUCAGUUGGGGUCCAGAUUCUAUUCAAGAUGUUCGAUGCUAUUCAGUGAAGCGCAGUCAGGAACGGAGAUGGUACUUGUUUUGGAGGUAUAUUGACGCAGCCGCAUGGAUUGUCAUUACUCGUGGGGAGUAGAUGUAUAUCUCGAAAGAUUUAAUUAAAAUAAAAUAUAAAUGCAUUGAAAGUCCUAAAACUUAUUAAGCAAGUUUAAUUGAGUCCUAAAAUUUUUCAAAUGUACAAUUAAGUUCUAAAACUUGUCACGAACGUACAGUCGAAUCCUAAAACAUUCAGAAAGUGUAAAUAAGUCCUAAAACUUAUAAUAUUAGUCCAAUCAACUGUUUCCAUUGAUUACACUUGUUUGAAAAUUUUAAGAAUCGCUUGUACUUUCUUGACAAGUUUUAGACGUCCAUUAUAUUUUUGUGACAAGUUUUUGGACUUGAUUGCGCUUUUUGAAAGUUUUAAGGUUCAAUUACACUUGGGAGAAGUACACUAUUAGUACCAUAAGUAGUAUACAACGCUCACUUUGGUGCCAAAAGUUUCCGUCGGAUCACUUAAGUACGUUGGUGCCAAAAGUUUCCGACAGAUCACUUAAGUGCCAAAUUGGAGAAAAAAUGAUCACUUUGGUGUCACCGGUAAGAGAUUCCGGCCAGAUUAAUUACGUGGCUUUUAUAUUAAAAAAAAAGAAGUCGUGGAGGCUUUAAAACGACAUCGUUUUCCAUUCUCUUCAAGAAACGACGUCGUUUGGCCGUUAUACGUGAACAUCCUCACAGAAACGACACCGUAUAGCUCAUAGGGAUUGAAAUUACGGUUUCCGUCGCUCGCCGCUCGGCCACCGUCAUUUGCCCACCAUUGCUCGGCCACCGUUGCUUCGCCACCAUUGUAGUUGCUCGACUGGGUGAGUGAGGAGAUAUUGAGAUUGUUGCUCAAGCAAGAAGUGGCGGGAAGAAUAGGAAGCGAGGGCAAGGAGGAGGAAGAAAAGGGGUUGAAGGUGCCACUAGUGUGCUACUGUUGCUGCUGGUGGCGCCGGUGCCGUUGCUGGUGCGCUGUUGGUACUGCUGUUAGUGCCAUUGCUGGUGCCAUUGCUGGCGUAGGUCUUCAAGGAAGAAGAAGACGACGUUCCUUCUCUCUCUCUUUCUUUCUCUCUCUCUCUCUCUCUCUCUCUCUCUCUCUCUCUCAAUUUGGGAAUUUAGGGUUUCUAAGUUGGGGGAAGACGAGAAACGGCGUCGUUUUGUUGUUUGAAUGGCUGAUUGUACUCUCCGACGAGCCACGUCGGCUUAAAAAAUUAAUAAAAAAGUGCCACGUCGGAUUUCCGGUCAAUUUCAUCGGCGUUGGCACUGAAAUAAUCAUUUUUCAAAUUUGUUGGCACUUAAAUGAUCUGACGGAAACUUUUGGCACCAAAGUAAAUGCGGUACACAACUUAUGGCACUCAAGUGUACUUCUCCCAUUGCACUUUCGUGAUAAGUUUUAAGACUUUUAAUGCACUUAAUCUCUAAAAGGAAACGGGUUUUGAGAUGCUAAAAGCAUGAGAUCUUUCUAGUUUGCAAUGCACGACUCAUCUUGGCUAAUUCCUGAUCUAGAUAAAACCCACCUGAGCAGACUAUAAGGUAACUUUGUAUUUAUGGACAUAGCAUUUCUCUUGUGUGUCUUGACAAUUUCCCUUCCCUAACCUCUCCGCUAAGGCUGAACGGACAUCAUUGCAACAGGUACAAAACUUGCAAUAGCACACGACGAAUGCAAUCAACAAGACAUGGAAGGUAUCCAACAUAGAUCGAUGUGCUUAAAGAUUCUGUCCGUGUCGGACUCCGUACAAUUUGAUGAAACCCCAUGCCGUUCAUCCAACGUGUGGUGGUUUAUAACAAGCUAUAUCAGCAAAUUGCAAUAUUGAAUCUUAAGAGGAGUGACAAAAAGAGAGGCAUAAAAUAAAAAACAAAGGGCUCGGAUCCGUGCAAGGAAUUACGAUGAAAAUGACGAUUCGGAUCAGGAUUAAUUGAUCUAAUCGCUUGGUACGUCAGGCGGAGGAGAGAAGCUUCACCACGAGGAAAUAGGCCCAAAACGCCACAUCUCACCUAAUGCUUUCGAACACCUGCAAAGCCAGCGCCAAUGAAACAGCCUCAGUUAAAUGCUGACAACAAAUCAUGGAAUCUCUAUCAGUUCCAUUCUUCUGGUCAACCUGAAUCAUGGAAUCUCUAGGAGGUGGUAAAUCAUUCACACUUUUAUAAGCAACAAGAUAUGUCGAAGCCUUGGCAGCAUUUCUGUUGUCUCCACUCCCGGAGCGUCCACCAACAAGCCGCCAUGCUGUUUCCUCAUUUUUUUUGACGAGCCAAUUCUGCCUGAUGCUGCCUUAUUAGCUCCUCCCUGAUUCCCGGUUGUCUGACCUGCGUGUUGUCUUGGACAUGAACGCGUCCACACCAUUAGCCUCAGGUUUGGCUUUUGGCCUCUCCUCUUCUUACUCACCCUCAUUGAAUGAGUAAGCCCCGACCUUCACGGCCUUAGAGCUCAUAUGAGUGGCAACAUCUGAUUUUUCCUUUUCAACAACGACCGUGUCAGCAAGCAGCAUAGAAAUAUUUUCGUUCUUUUGGUCGUUUGUCCGGUUCUGCAAAUUCUGGAAACCAAGUGACACAUUAAAGACCAUGUUUUCUUUGAUUAUUCUCUCAUUUUCGGCAUUGAUGUUCAACCCUGACUCCCGAAAUUCAACACCCAUUCCUGUCCAGCUGACUUCGUCGAGUUUAGUAGUAGUUCAGGAGCAUCCUUGUCAACUACUGAUGAGGCCGCCUGAGAGGCUGCAAUGAGCUUGUUCCCGGGCUUCAACAUGCUAAUUGCUGCUUCAUGGGCCUUUAGAAGUACUUCAUAUGCUUCACUCUGCAGGGGAUUGGCAUCAAUCAUGAAUGUCCUUGCGCAAUUAGAGCAGUAACCGUUAUAACAAGAUCCGACCGUGCAUAUAAUCGUGCUUGCAGAAUCAUAGUAAACCAAUUCGUCGUUGCCGGCGGCACUGGGCCUCAGAUCAAACUCUCCUUCACUCUGGAAAAUAGGAGGAUAGCAAGUAUCAAUGCCAUCUACCUUCAGCUUUACCUUGGCUCUAGAUGGAUCCAAUAAGGCUUUCUCAGUUUCAUCCAUCAACGAUGACUGAGUCGCUUUCUUCUCCUUAUCAAUAACAUUCUAUCAUUUUGGAACCACAUAAUUCUUCAACACAUUAGCCAUCAGAUGUGCUGCCUUUCUCACAUUUAAAAGCUCAGCGUCAUCCUUGACAGCAGAAAAUUUGGACAACCGAUCGGUCACAUCACCGAGCUGAAAGACGGAAGCCUCAAGCUUCUCAGCCCAUGUCUCCAAAAGCUUACCUUCAGGAGCCCCUCUUGCUGACCAGCCGCCUUGGAAAGAGAGUGGAUGGCACUGAAAAUUGCCUCCGUUACUGCAGUCCCAUCAUCACUUCUCGCCUGAACAACGUCGAGAGAUCGAGAGAUCGAGAGAGAGAGAGAUUUAGGGCUUUCAAGCGAUUACGUGAAUGAAGAGGGAGGCGAGUAGACUGGGGAUUUCCAGGAGAGGAGGGAUGGUGAAUGAGAGUGGAAGGAACCACUGCCUUCACCAGAUUCCUCACAGAAGCCAAUGGCCGUUGGAGCUUAGGCGUCGGGCUAUGGAUGUUCCAUGGGAUCUUGUAACGAUAUGAGCUCUAAGGCCGUGAAGGUUGGGGCUUACUCAUUCAAUGAGGUUGUGGAAGAAGAGGAAAGACCAAAAGCCAAACCUGAGGCUAAUGUCGUGGACGCACUCAUGUCCAAGCCAACACUCAGGUCAGACAACUAGGAAUCAAGGAGGAGCUAAGAAGGCAGCAUCAGGCAGAAUUGGCUCGUCAAAAAAAUGAGGAAACUGCAUGGCGGCUUGCUGGUGGUACCGAUAGAGACUCCUUUCAUUGUGGUGACACUGAGCAAGAUUGAGAUUGUGAACCUGGAGAGAGUUGGCCUUGGACAGAAGGACUUUGAUAUGACUAUAGGUUUCAAGGACUUCAAGCGGGAUGUGCUUAGAAUUGAUUCCAUCCCUUCUACAUCUCUCGAUUGAAUCAAGGAAUGGCUUGACACGACGGACAUCAGGUACUGUGAAAGAAGAUUGAAUCUGAAUGGGCGACAGAUAUUGAAGACAAUAACUGAUGAUCCAUUGAGCUUCAUAGAUGAUGGGGGCUGGGAGUUUUUGAAUUUGGAAGUCAGUGACUCAGAUAGUGAAAAGUCAGAGGAGUCAGACCAAGGUUAUGAAACAUCUGAUGUGCAGUCCGAAUCCGAUUCAAAAGAAGAUGCCUCUGAUAGUGAGUCCUUGGUGGAGUCUGAGGAGGAUGACGACCCAGAUUCAGAAGAAGAUUCAGCGGAAGAGAAGGGGAAGACAUGGGAGGAGUUGGAGAGAGAAGCAAUCAAUGCAGACAGAGAGAAAGGUGAUGAAUCUGACAGUGAGGAGGAGAGAAGGAGGAGGAAGAUGAAGGCCUUUGGGAAGGGUAGAGCUGGUCCUAGCGGUGGCAUGCCUAAGCGAGCAAAGAUGCGGUAGAUGUCACCGUAGCUUGUUUAGAAUCUUGGUUUUAGCUUUGCUUGGUCAAGCUCUUUUUGGUUCUCAGUUCGUCCUGUCUUCUGUAAAAUGCAGUUAUGACUAACAUAUUGUUAAAAUUUUUGGAUGUAUUUGCGUGCGGAAGCAUGAUUUUGGUAUUAGUUAUAGUUUUUGGUUAAUGAUGUGUGUAAGUGUAUGGUAUAUUUUGUAGAGGAUGAACAAGGAACAAGAUAGGAUAAUUUAAAGAAUAAAUAACAUGGAUAUGAGGAAAAAUAGUUUCAUUAAUUAAAAGAAAUAGUUUGAUGAAGAUAGUCAUGGUGGAGGGUUUUCCCACACAAGGUGGACCUCUCACACUCUCGGUGGAGGGUUUCCCCUCGCACACGUUCAAAUAAUCAAUUACAAGCCUAUUUAUAGGCGUGAGUUCACCGCCAUAUCUACGGACUUUGAGUACAUAAAAUAAUAUAAAAUUGCAGCUUCUUUGUCUUCUGCUUGUGCGGCUUUUCUCUUCUAGUCAAAGUCCAAGUUGGACUUUGCUUUUCUUUUCUUCUUUUUGCCGAGCUUCUCGUUCCUUCUCCAUUUUUCUUUAAUUUUCUAUUCUUGCUGCCCACGUACUCUAGAUCAUUCUUUCUUCAUGGUGAAGCAGCUAUUGUUGACUUUCUUCAAGAUUUCUCAUGCACGUAGAGCUUGUUCUCUUGAAAACUCCAGCAACUACUAUAAUAUUAUUUUAUUGUGUGCCCCUUCAUUCUUUCAGCUUGAGGCUUCCUCAUAUGUUUCCCAUGCACGUACAUUUCUCUUGUUUGUUCUAGGUUUUUUUUUUUUUAUGCUUCUUCACAGAGUCUUCAAGUUCAACUUAGACUCUUCAUCUUUUCUUGCAUGCAUGUGCAACGUUGCCGACUCAUUCCUUCUCCAUUAAGUUAGUAGUUUCUAGACUUUGUUGAAAAUGGAUCACCAAUUUCCAACACAUAUUUUGAAUGGCUUAGAUUUGAUCGCCGAGAUGCAUUCCUAGUUUUUAUUUGGGCUUCUGCAUGCAAUUUAGCGUCUGUUGUGAAUGACACUGCUUAGAAAGUAAACUAUCUUUAAUGUCAAUGAUUAAGGAGAAAUCUCUCUCUUCUCUCGACUGUUAAUUAUUUUUUAACUGAUUGUGUGAUUGCUGCUUUUGCUUCCAGGCUUACACCCUUCCACCUGUUUGUUGAUUUGUUUGUUGUCUAUGCUGAUGUGCAUUUUCAGUGCUUAGCAAUAUAUUCGUUUUCAAGGACCUCUCAUCAACAUUAUUUUGAAGAAGCAUGAACCUCUGUAGAGGCGGUGGAGCACGAGGUAAACCCGAUAUAAACUAUACAACUGAGUGGGCCAAUUUUUGAGUGAUUAGAGCAGUUAAUUAGGUCUUUGAGAGAACUAGGAUGAGUUGGACAACUUUUAUUUGAUUGUUGCUGGUCGCUGUUUCAGGUUGCAAAUCGAAAUUGCCUCCUUGUGCCUGGGGUGGAUGGCAGCUUUGAUUCUUGAACUUAGUUGACAGCUCAGUUUUAGCGUGCUUGGUAAAAGGAGACUGUAAAAAGAGACCGCCCGCCAUUGCGUGCCUGAUCGUGGCAAGUUCUUUUUUUUUUUGGUAAGGAUGAUCGUGGCAUGUUUUGAUAGCUUCAUUCGGUAAGAAAUACAAACUUCUGGAUUUGAAGCCUAAAACUACUGACUUAUAUAUACAUAUAUGUAUGUAUGUAUGUAUAUAUGUAUGUGUAUAUUUUAAAUAGCUUGUGUUUAAUGGGUUUCGUGAGUUUUCUUGUCUUGCACGAUUGUAAAUACAUUAGAGAACUUACUGUGCUACUAGAUGUUUGCAAAGAUGGGGUUUACCUCCGCCAUCACGCCCUAGGUCUGCCCCAACCAAGAAUAUAUGAACAAGAACAAUCGCGGUAUCACUAAUAUCAGCUAACUCCAGGGUUGUUCAGUAUGACUCCUAGAUUCCCGUAUUUGAGCAGAUUUGAGGGAUGGUUAAGAGAUUAUCAUGCAAACCUACCAAGAUCAUGAGUUUCAUAAGACGAGCUUACUUUUUCUCUUUUCUGGUUUUUUCCAUUUCAAACGAUAUUGACACGUCUUAGAUUCAUCACAGGCACAAGUACUUUAUCACUCUCUGAUGAGAUGAAUGCUUGUUAGCUGCAAGAGUUGCUCGAUUAGAUAAUGAGCGGGCGGCGAGAUUUUGACCCACACAAGAAUUGAAUGACUUUCACCAACGUAUGUAUACUAGUGUACAAUGCCCGCAAGAAAAGACCAGGACUAGGACUUGGACUCGAGGCCAUCCCGCAGUAUUUACAUAUAGACUUCUGUUCUGACCUGGACCGAUGCAAGUACCAAGCCCUCGCAGCUUCUUCGACAGCAUCCGUGCCAUCAUCAAUUCCUCUUGCUCUUCUAAUGACCUCCAUACGAAUUGCAAAGCUAAUGGACGUGAGUGUUGGUUUCAGCUAGGAACGAAGGCGACAGCGAGGUUCAACAGAUUUGAAGGUAAGUAGGAAAGUAAAGGAAGAUGUUGGAAUGUGCUUCUGCAAAUUGAUAAGGGCAUUGCAGUUCUCUUUUUCUCAAAGGUUAUAUAAUAUUGCUCACACCUAAUGGUGAGUUUCCUUUCUGUUUUUGUUGUCAGCAUUCAACUGAUAGGUUGUUUCAUUGGCGCUGGCUUUGUACGUCUUCGAAAGCAUUAGGUGAGAUUUGGCGGUUUGGGACUAUUUCCUCGUGGUGAAGCGUCUCUCCUCCGCCUGAUGUACCAAGUGAUUAGAUUAAUUUAUCCUAAUCCGAAUCGUCAUUUUCAUCGUAAUUCCUUCCAUGGAUCCGAGCCCUUUGUUUUUAUUUUUUAUUUUAUGCCUCUCUUUUGUCACUCCUUUUAAUAUACAAUAUUGCACUUUACUGAUAUGAUGAACGACAUGGGAUUACAUCAAAUCGCAUGUAGUCCGACACAGACAGAAUCUUUAAGCACAUCGAUCAAUGUUGCAUAUGUUUCAUGUCUUGUUGAUUGCAUUCAUUCUGUGCUAUUGCGACUCUUGUACCCGUUGUGAUGUGCAUUCAGCCGUAGCCAAGAGGUUAGGGAAGGGAAAUUGUUGGGACACACAUGAGAAAUGCUAUGUCCAUAAAUACAAGGCUAGCUUGAAGUUUGUUCAGGUGGGUUCUACCUAGAUCGGAAUUAGCCAAGAUGAGUCGUGCAUUGCGUAUCAUAAAGAUCUCAUGCUUUUAGCUUCUCGAAACCCAUUUUCUUUUAGCAAUAAGUCAUUGAAAGUCUUAAAAUUUAUCAAAAAACGUCCUAAAACUUAUCAGGAAGAACAAUUGAGCUUUAAAACUUUUAAAAAGUGCAAUUAAAUUUUAAAACUUAUCAUCAAAACGCAAUCGAGGCUUAAAAUUUUCAAUAAGUGUGAUCGAUGAAAGCAAUUGAUUGGACUAAUAUGACAAGUUUUAUAACUUAUUACACUUUCUAAAUAUUUUAAGACUCGAUUGUACUUUCGUGACAAGUUUUAUCACUUAAUUACGUAUUUUGAAAAUUUUAGAAGGCAAUUAAACUUUCUUGACAACUUUUAAGAUUUCUAAUAUAUUUAUGCUUUCUUUUUAUUAAAUCUUUCGAGAUAUACAUCUAAUCCGCACGAGCAAUGACCAGAUUUCUAAUAUAUUUAUGCUUUCUUUUUAUUAAAUAUUUUGAGAUAUACAUCUAAUCCCCACAAGCAAUGACAAUCCAUGCAACUGCAUCGACAUAUCUCUUAAACAAGUACCAUCUACGUUCCUGCCUGCGCUUCACUAAAGCCCGGCCUGGAUCCGUUCAUUGCAGAAAUCCAAUUGGAAAUGUCAAGGGCGACCGCCGAUUUUCCAGUUCUUCCGUAUGUCUUGAAAUUUAGAGACCCUCGUUUAUUCACGCAACAGCUUGAAUUUUGGAAGAAGUUGAGCUAGAAGGAAGGGACCAAGGGCCGGCCGUACUUCCCGCCUUUAAAAUGACGUAAACAUCGGAAAAUAUGCAUCCCAUGAAAUCAAGUAAAAUCGGAGAAACUAUGCCAAGUACACUAGCCACUUUCCAACAGUAAAAGACUAGCUGUCCCCAUUUAAUUUCAACCAACGACAGCAGAGUCAAAUCAUUACCGCGAGGCAGCAAAUAUUAGUCUCCUUGCUACAUCACCAAUCCGCAUAAGUUCUGAAGAAACUGCAAAUAUCCCCAGAAAAUGAAGAGAGAGAAAGAGGCAAUGCUGUUUUAUACCCGUAAAUGAAGAGAGGAUGGAAGGAGGAAAUAAUUGUAGUUGUCCUGUCUAAAACAAUUUCCCCUUAUCCAACAACAGCAUGCCACGCUUGUUCGACAGCACGCCACACUCGUUCCAAAGCCAACUCAUAAUAGGGUUUCCAGAGGAUUGUGGUCUCUGCAAUCAAGGAAGUGACCAUGUACGGGUCCGAGUUGGAUGCAGGUCCGCUGUAGUCAAGAGAACCAUUCCCAGCUUCCUCAGGGUCUCUUCCGACUCCAAUAUCAGCACCUCGGCUCACAAAGCCCUGCUGAAAACCCCAGUGUCAAUCCACCAUUCUAUAACGCAUCUAAAGAUGCCAGCUUGCCAAUCCAAAUACGGCUAAGAGCAACAAUAAACAUGCUUAAAGUUCCAAGUUCCAGAGGCAUCUGAUUCUCCUACCCAUAGGAAGGUGUUGAUGUCAGCUGUCUCGCAGCACCCACUGAAAUAAGAUGCCCAGAUCUGUUCCUUGGCCCUCAGUCCAAUCCUCUCUAUUGCCUUUCUGAUGGCUUCAUGCCCACCAUCGUUCCUCAUUGACUCGGCGCUGCAACCCGGCCAAAAAUUUUAGUUAAAGAUACGAGUGCCAAGUCUCCUUUCCUUGUUUGCACGUGCAGAAAGAUGUCAACAUAGGAAAGCAUGGACAAUAUUCAGUGAUGUUUUCUUACCUGUAAUUUGUGCAUAAACCUGCUCUGUUCCUGUCUCCCUGGUAUUAACAAAACCCGGGUGAUGAACUUGAAGUUGUUGUGCACAAAACUGAAGAACCAUUAACAUAAAGGGCAUCGAACUGACCUGAAUAAGCCUGGCAUCGAAUGCAAGGACAAUGCCGGCACUCUCCGUGAUCCUCUGGUUACACCAAGACGACUAAAUAAGCAAAAAAACUCUGAAGCGGGUGUUAAUACAGCAUGAUAAGACAAUGUAGGCUGUUGCAUUACCGCCAAAAUAUAGCGGGCUACCCAGAGUUCAUCUCCAGCUGAGAUGCCCACGGCAGGACCGACUUGGAAUUUCCACUAUACAAGAAUAAGAUAAGAGUAGUGUUGAAAAUUGAAAAAGUUAGCUGGGAAAUUAAGAAUUGAUGACAUGAAACGUGACUACUUACGAAAAGAAAAUGUUUUCUAACCUGCCCUGGCAUGACACUGCCCUCGAUGCCGCCGAUGUUGAUUCCAGCAUACAAGCAGGCCUCGUAAUGGGAGUCUGCAAUGUCUGCGCCAAUACCACAGUAGUUUGGUUCCUGUUGAAGCAUAAUGAUUUAAAGUACAAGAUCUGAAAGACCUGAUGCCACAUACAAAAAAUUUGUAGACAUAUCUGCUACAACAUUAUGCAUCAAUCAAUAAACUCCAUGUUCUGAAUAAACUUGUAUGCGAUGCACUUGCUCCCUUCUUUAGUUUAAAGGCAUGAUGGCACAUGGCAACAGAGACGGGUUUGAGCAUGAGUGAUGAUAUACCUGAGCACCAGCAUAGCCACCGACAGGCAGUCCAAUUGGCCAAUUGACAUUUCGCCGCAAGAGGGUGUACUCUUGCUCAAUCCUAUACCUGUUUUCACUUGUCAAACCCGUAUGAACGGUAAGGGAGUUGAAUAGUGAAAAAAAGUUAGAUAUGAAAAUGAGAAAACACGAAGAAUGAAAUUACCAGGGCUCUUCAGCAACAACAUCAGGAUGGCCAAAUAUCUCGGCAGCGGCAUGCCUAUUGUUUGUCACAAUCGGCUCUCCAGCUGGAGUAUAGGUGUCACACAGGACCUAAACCGAUGACGUUUCGUCGAUAACUACUUAUAACAUCAAAUCAAAACUGAUAACUGCAGAACUCAUUCCGCUAAAUAGAAAAAGCACUCACCAGGAUAUUUGCACCCCUCCUAAACGGAUCCUUGAAAAUUGCUUGGGGACUACAUGUCAUUGAGUCAAUUCCAAAGACAGGUAAGAAGUCAUCAGUAUUCAAGAUACCUACGAGCUCUAAUGAUAAAAAUCACUGAUCUGACUAGAUUUCUAUCAAACGAGCCGAGACUUAUGAGUAUAAACAGAAAUCCAUAUGAAGAAAUAAUACAAACACUUACUAUAGGAACACUUACUAUAGGAUCACUUCACUAUCCUCCCCGGGGGCCCCAUCAAAGUUCAACCUGGGAAGCAUUGAUAUAUUGUCGACGGGGCCAUCAAGAAUCUAUAGAUAUUUGGAAAUGCGAAAUCCACAUCAAGUCUCAGGAAAGGAACGUAUUUAUGAGCUACCGAACAACCUAUUGCUUGAUCAUCUAAAAAGAGAGGAACUCACUAUUCCCAUGCUUCUGAGGACCAUACCAGCUUCCCCGAUCCUUUCCAAAGAUAGCCAAAACAUAAAGAAUCAUCAGAUACAGAAAAAGACGGAUUCGAAAUAUAAUGAACGAAAUUAGAGGUAAUUCCUAAUCAGAACUGGAAAUGCAGCAAAACAGUAUGCCUAAGAUCAGAUCGGGAUCGAACUGAACUUCGAGAAGAUAGAGAAAUCAACAGAAAAGGACGUAUUCAAAAUAUAAUGAACAAAACUAGAGGUAAUUCCUAAUCAGAACUGGAAAUACAGCAAAACAGCAUGCCUAAGAUCAGAUUGGGAUCAAACUGAACUUCAAGAAGAUAGAGAAAUCAACAGAAAAGGACGGAUUCGAAAUAUAAUGAACAAAAUUAGAGGUAAUUCCUUAAUCAGAACUGGAAACACAGCAAAAUAGCAUGCCCAAGAUCAGAUCGGGAUCAAACUGAACUUCGAGAAGAUAGAGAAAUCAAUAGAAAAGGACGGAUUCGAAAUAUAGUGAACAAAAUUAGAGGUAAUUCCUUAAUCAGAACUGGAAAUACAGCAAAACCGCAUGCCUAAGUUCGGAUCCGGAUCGAACUGAACUUUGAGAAGCUAGAGAAAUCAAACGCACCAGACAGAACAAGAGGAUUAGCGACAAGUGAGCAAGGACUGACCAUAAGUACUCGGCAACCACCUUCUCGGUGGUGUCGGAGAGAUUGCGGUCGGAAAGGAGCGACAUUGCAGUGCCUCGCUCUCAAAUCGAGUUGGAUCGUAUCGAAUGGCAUCAAAUUGUAGGGUUUCAUCGGAUUGUAUAUAUAUGUGUGUUGAGUGUGUGUGAACGCAGUGAAUCUACUGUAUAUGUAUCCGUAUGUGUAUAUGUACUAUGUACACGACCCGCGAGGAGCCGGAUCCAGGAGCCGCAAGGAGCUGGAACUGGAACUGGAAUGAGCCAGAGCCGCGGUGAGCCGGAUCUGCGAACCGUCCACUGCUUCCCAGAAACUGAAAUCGAAACGAACCGAAAACCGAACUGGAACUUGAACCGGGGACCCGUCCUCGGGUCUCGAAUCAUCGAAACAAGGAACACCCAAUUCGACAGAACCCAGGUACAGGGCUCGCUGGAGCUGAGAUCUAAAGAUCUAAAACUGGAGCCGAGCCGUCUCCCCGAUUCAACAUGAGUAGACGGAUCUCUCCCCUUGCGGUUGCAGGUGAAGAAGACGACCGAUCCGAGGUUGCGAUCUGAAGCAGAGACAAGAGGAAGGAAGGAUAAAUGAAUAAAGCAAAGCAAGCCCCCGAAACUCAUGGCACAAAAGUGAAAGAGAUAUGGUUGUAAGCUGAGUCAACAAGGCACACCCCAGUAAGCGCGACUUCGAGUUCGCACUUGCUCAUCUUUGAACGUUCUGGCCAAACCCCUUUUUCUUCUGGCACUGUUCUUUGAACGUUCAAACUUUAACGUCCAAACCCCUUUUCUUCUGGCACCGUUCUUUGAACGUUCAAGCAGUCCCCAUCCCAGCAAGCGAUUUCGAGUUUGCGGUUGCUCCUCUCGCGCUGCUCUCCGACCGUCUUCCCCAGAAACACCAGAUCUACAAUUUAUGUGAAGGGUGGGUUGGAUUUAACGCCAAGCCGCCGCCGCCGCCGCCGCCGCCGCCGCCGCCGACCCUGCAACGCCUCCUGGGAACCAGUCCUCGGGUCUCGUCUCAUCGAGACAAGGAGCGCCCGUUUCGACAGAUCCGAUGUGUCGAGUAGAGCCAUGCAUGUCGUGAGGUUUAGAUCUAAAGAUCUAAACUCGAGCCGAGCCAUCUCCCCGAUUCAAAAUAAAAAGGAGACGACUCUCUCUCCUUGCGGCUGCAGGAGGUGAAGAAGACGACCGAUCCGAGGUUGCGAUCUAUAGCAGAGACAAGAGGAGGGAGGAUAAAUGAAUAAAGCAAAGCAAGCCCCUGAAACUCACGGCAAAAAAGUGAAACAGAUAUGGUUAAUAUGUUGAAUCAAGGAAGCACACCUGAAUCAAGGAAGCACACCCCAGACAAGCGAUUUCGAGUUCCGCACUCGCUCCUCUUCGUCGGCUCACCUCUCGCGCUGCUCUUCCGACCUUCUCUCGCAGAAACCCCCUUUUACUGCCAACCGCACCAGAUCUGUUUUUCAUGGGAUGAUUUUCAUUCUUUCCCAGAAACCCCCUUCCCCGCCAACCGCACCAGAUCUAAUUUUGCGUGGGGUUCAUGGGAUGAUGGAGAGAGGGAGGUGAUUUUCAUGCGAUGAUUUUCAUGGGAGGGGAGAGGGAUUUUCAUGGCCGGAUUGGUGUUGGGGGUGGUGGCGUUUGUGUUUGGAGUUAGCGACGCGGUUGAGGUAAAGGUUGGGAGAAUCUUUAUUUCUACAAUGUGACGCUAUGGGGAGAGUUGGUUGGGGGCAUCGGGAGGAUUGGGAGCCAAAUGACCGAAGAGAGUCUGGGGCAUGGGGAAGAUUAGGACAGCCGGGGAUUUUAUUGUCAAUUCCGAUCGAGAAAAAUUAGGCUGCACAUGAUAAAAUUUCUGUUUCUUGAUUUCUCUCUUCCUCUGUUUCCUGGAAUAGGUUCGGAACAGAAAUUCGUUUGGUAACGCAAAUUGAUUUCUCUAUUUCUAAAACAGAUUUCUAUUUCAGAAAUUAUUUUGGGAGAGAAAUCAGAAGCUAGAAAUUGUAGCUUCUCUGUUUCUGAAAUAGAAAUAGAAUUUUUUUUUUUGAGACUCUGUUUAAGAAACAUGCAUGACUUAUGUAUUUCAUUUCAUGACUUAUGUAUUUGAGACUUUGUUUAUUUAUGUUUUUAAGUUGCAAUUAUGAUGAUGUUAUUGCUAUAGGCAUUCUUCUUUAAGGAAUGUCAUUGAAAGAUCAUUUGGGGUAUUGAAGAAUCGCUUUUUCAUUUUGAGGCACAUGCCCUCAUUUGCACUUCGAAAGCAAGCACAUAUCGUAAUUGCAUGUUGUGCCAUCCAUAAUUACAUCCGCGAUCAAGACAAAAUGGAUAAGAACUUUUUCCUAUAUGGAGAUCCGAUGUACGUGGCUGAACUUACGUAGGAUGAGCUUGCAAACAUUUAGUUGACCGAUGAGAGAAACCAAAUAAAUAUGCUUAGAAAAACCAUUGCCAAUAAAAUGGCAAGGGAAUAAUAUGCCGGAAAUUCCAUGAAAUUGUAUUUUCAAUUUUUGCAAUGUAUUAGUAUUAUUUCGACUAUUAUUUUGUAUUUGAGGAUUUCAUAUGUUGUUAUCUAAUCAAUUUCUAUUUCUAGCACAACUUUCAUUUUAUUAAUUUCGAAUUGCUCGCAAAUUGCGCCUCCCUCCAUGUCAACUAGUACCUAACAUAAAAUCACUUUGUGGUCUCAAAAGAAUGCAAAAAAGUGUAGUGACUUAAACCCGAAUCUUGAAUGAGGAGAAUAAAUACAUUCACUAUUUGCAUAUUAGCAUUUGAAAAUGCCAAAUCUUUUAUAGUUUGCAUAUUAGCAUUUUUUAUACUAAUUACUAGCUUUUAUUUACAUAAAUUGCUAAUGUUUUGAAGUUCUUAACUACUCUAUCGAAUUACCAAUAUAAAUUAAAGUGAUUUAUCAACUUUUAUUAAAUUAAAUUACCAUCAUAAGCACCAAGAAGAGUGAGGUAAAAUGAUAGGGACAACAUGAUUCAUAGAAAUAUAAAUUUUUUUUUUCUGUUAUCAAACGGAUUUCUGUUUCAGAAAUAGAAAUUUCGAGUUGUUAUCAAACGGGUUUCUUUGCUCAAAAACUUGGCUGGGGAAUAGAAAUUGAGAAAUAGAUUUCUGGCCAUAAAUCAAUUUCUGUUUUAGAAAUUUUAUCAUGCGCAGCCUUAGAGACAUAGGAAAGAUUAGGACAGGUGGGGAUUUUAUUGUCAAUUCCGAUCGAGGAAAAGUAGAGACAUAGGACAGCUGGGGAUUUUAUUGUCAAUUCUGAUCGAGGAAAAUUAGAGACAUAGGAAAGAUUAGGAUAGUUGGGGAUUUUAUUGUUAAUUCCGAGCGAAGAAAAUUAGAGACAUAGGAAAGAUUAGAGACAUAGGAAAUAUUAGGACAGGUGGGGAUUUUAUUAUCAAUUACGAGCGAAGAAAAUUAGAGACAUAGGAAAGAUUAGGACAGCUGGGGAUUUUAUUGUCAAUUCCGAGCGAAGAAAAUUAGAGACAUAGGAAAGAUUAGGACAGCUGGGGAUUUUAUUGUCAAUUCCGAGCGAAGAAAAUUAGAGACAUAGGAAAGAUUAGAGACAUAGGAAAGAUUAGGACAGCUGGAGAUUUUAUUGUCAAUUCCAAGCGAGGAAAAGUACAGACAUAGGAAAGAUUAGGACAGCUAGGGAUUUUUCAGGGUUUUUAGCCCUUUUUUAUUUUUUUAUUUAUCACGUGAAAUUUAGCGAAGUAAAAUAAUUCAUUCGUAUGUCUCUAUUUUUUUCAGGGUCUUUAGACCUAGGGAUGGGACGAGAUGGAGACCGCGGAGAUUGAAGGAAUGGAGACCCGGGGUAACCCGGGGUAAGAUUGUCAAUGUGAGCAAGGGAAAAAGUGGGAGAUUGGAGGGAUGGAGACCUUGGGUCACAUUGACGAUAAUAUCCUCAGAGUCCCCCCAAGGGAUUUUAUUGUCAAUGUGACCUAAGAGGACACAUCAUAUAGAAAUAAAGAUUCUCCCAACCUUACCCCAACCGUGUCGCUAACUCCAGCCACCACCCCAACACCAAUCCGGCCAUGAAAAUCCCUCUCCCCUCCCAUGAAAAUCAUCGCAUGAAAAUCACCUCCCUCUCUCCAUCAUCCCCUGAACCCCACGCAAAAUUAGAUCUGGUGCGGUUGGCAAGGAAGGGGGGUUCUGGGAAAGAAUGAAAAUCAUCCCAUGAAAAAUAGAUCUGGUGCGGUUGGCAGUAAAAAAAAAGGGGUUUCUGGGAAAGAAGGUCGGAAGAGCAGCGCGAGAGGUGAGCCGACGAAGUGGAGCAAGUGCGAACUCGAAAUCGCUUGUCUGGGGUGUGCUUCCUUGAUUCAGGUGUGCUUCCUUGAUUCAACAUAUUAACCAUAUCUGUUUCACUUUUUUUGCCGUGAGUUUCAGGGGCUUGCUUUGCUUUAUUCAUUUAUCCUUCCUCCUCUUGUCUCUGCUAUAGAUCGCAACCUUGGAUCGGUCGUCUUCUUCAUCUCCUGCAGCCGCAAGGAGAGAGAGUCGUCUAUUUUCUUUUUUCUUUUAUUGAAUCGGGGAGAUGGCUCGGCUCGAGUUUAGAUCUAAACCUGACGACAUGCAUGGCUCCACUCGACACAUCGGAUCUGUCGAAACGGGCGCUCCUUGUCUCGAUGAGACGAGACCCGAGGACUGGUUCCCAGGAGGCGUUGCAGGGAUGGCGGCGGCUUCUUGGCGUUAAAUCCAACCCAUCCUUUACGUAAAUUGUAGAUCCGGUGUUUCUGGGGAAGAGAGUCGGAGAGCAGUGCGAGAGGAGCAACCGCGAACUCGAAAUCGCUUGCUGGGAUGGGGACCGCGUUCAAAGAACGGUGCCAGAAGAAAAGGGGAUUUGGACGUUCAAGAACAGUGCCAGAAGAAAAGGGGGUUUGGCCAGUACGUUCAAAGAUGAGCAAGUGCGAACUCGAAAUCGCGCUUACUGGGGUGUGCCUUGUUGACUCAGCAUACAACCAUAUCUCUUUCACUUUUGUGCCGUGAGUUUCGGGUGCUUGCUUUGCUUUAUUCAUUUAUCCUUGUCUCUGCUUCUGAUCGCAACCUCGGAACGGUCGUCUUUUUCACCUGCAACCGUAAGGGGAGAGAUCCGUCUACUCAUGUUGAAUCGGGGAGAUGGCUCGGCUCCAGUUUAGAUCUUAGAUCUCAGCUCCAGCGAGCCCUGUACCUGGGUUCUGUCGAAAUGGGUGUUCCUUUUUUCGAUGAUUCGAGACCCGAGGAGGGGUCCCCGGUUCAAGUUCCGGUUCGGUAUUCGGUUCGUUUCAGUUUCGGUUUCUGCGAACCAGUGGACGGUUCGCGGAUGCUCGAACCAGCUCACCGCAGCUCUGGCUCAUUCCAGUUCCAGUUCCAGCUCCUCACGGCUCCCGGAUCCGGCUCCUCGCGGGUGGUGUACAUAUACUCAUGCUUGUACUAUCCACAUGGGUGUACAUAUACACAUGCGUGUACAUUCACUGCGCGUUCACACCCACACACUCACAUAUAUACAAUGCGAUGAAACCCUACAAUUUGAUGCGAUUCGAUUCAAUUUGGGAGCGAGGCACCGGAAUGUCGCUCCUUUCCGACCGCAACCUCUCCAACACCACCGAGAAGGUGGUCGCCGAGUACAUAUGGUCAGUCCUCGUUCACUUGUCUCACUUGUCGCUAAUCCUCUUGUUCUGUCUGGUGCGUUUGAUUUCUCUAGCUUCUCGAAGUUCAGUUUGAUCCGGAUCCGAUCUUAGGCAUGCUGUUUUGCUGUAUAUCCAGUUCUGAUUAGGAAUUACCUCUAAUUUUGUUCAUUAUAUUUCGAAUCCGUCCUUUUCUGUUGAUUUCUCUAUCUUCUCGAAGUUCAGUUCGAUCCCGAUCUGAUCUUAGGCAUGCUGUUUUGCUGUAUUUCCAGUUCUGAUUAGGAAUUACCUCUAAUUUU